UGGAAAGACAUUCAUUCAAGAGAUUCUAACGUGAUUAUCGUAAAUAGCUGGAAUUGUAGAUAUUUACAAUGACAUAGAUCAUUUUUCUUCGACGUAAUUACGGCCUAAUGUCGAGACAAGAAUAAUAUGACGCUGAUCUGUGUUUUGACAAGAAUAUGAAUGAUCUUAAGAAAAGGUUUCGCUGAAUCAAUUGGAAGACAGCGUCUUCAAUUGUCCUACUAAAUUCUUUACAGAUGACAUCUGGGUCUGGGGAGAUCAUGCAAAAAAAUAAGACACCAUUUAUAACUUUCAACCUUCCGCUCACAGGACAAAUUCUCGAAGACGCUACGAAAAGAUGCUGAGCUUGAUCAUAAUUCUUCAGGCUCCCAAUUCAAGAAUACAAUUACUUAGCGUGGGUGCUUCUGCUCAGUCUUCGUUUCCUAUCUCCACAUACCAAUCACUCGUUUGCUACUAAUUCGAAUAAUUUACUGCUGUAAGGAGUCGUACCACCAACUAAAUCUGAAUAACAAUUUGGCUGCUAGAAGUUAAAAAGUAGGCGCUGCAAUGAUUAUGUGGUAUGAUCAGAUUGUGUCGCAACGCUCAGCGGGGUUUUGGCUCAAUGGGACCGCUGCUAAUAAAACGUUUAACUAGCGAAUUUUGGAACACACCCGUUGACAAAAGUAUAAGGAGUCUCUUUCCGUGAGUUCCCCUCUUCCUCUCACUGCACUUCAACUAUGCCUUAUAGCAACCAAGAAGCUAGAAAAUGCCAACUAUUAAAAAGAUAACCUCUUUGGAAGCAAAUAAAACGGAGAUUAUCUUGGGAUCUAUUUCACAAAUUUACGGCUAAUUGGAAUGAACAGCGCCAAGUAGCACUGGUCAAACUGCAGAGAGUAUUAGAACUUGCUUUAUUCCGUAUAUCGUACUUUAGGUCGUCAGUUUUACCACUUCGGUACGCAAAUGAAAAUGAAAAGCUCAUUCACAACUUAGACACAAUUUCGCCGUUUACAAGUAGCUGAAAAGUCCAUCUAUCGAAUUAUGAAUGAUACUAUUUUAAAGAUAGUCGUUGCUGCACUCGUUUUCCAUGUUCUUUUUAUCCACACAUCCGAUGUUUUACUUACAGUUGAGCAUCUCAGGGCCAGCGACAAAUAUAAACAUAUUAUACUCAAAAUGAAGCUCGUUGAAAAGAGAAUAUUUCUUAACCUCUUUUACAGUGUUUUCAACACCUUUUCAUCUGUGUGCCAUGUCAGAUUAAGGAUGCUCAACUUUUCGAAUUAUUAUUACAAAUUUCAAAGAAAUUACUAGUCCUUUUUGUCCCCUAAUGUAUCCCUCAUUUCAUACCGUCGUUUUGGGGUUCCAACUACGUAUAGCUUUCAAGUGUGGUUUUACGGUAAGAACAACCCCCCAUCGGUUAGUGCGGAAUACUUUCCUAUUCUCAUCGAGAGCCGAGCCAUACACCUAAGGUGGACAGAAAGUUAAAAUUCCAACAGAAAAAUCUAACAUCUUUGCUCCCUUACAAGUAGGAACGCUAGCGUAUCAACCCAUCUCCAGAUUUGCCCAGCAUUUCUGUAGAACACCCAAUGCGAAUGAAGACUAAUGAAUAUUGUAAAGACAAAAAAUAGGAAAAGUUUAAUUAGUGAUGGUUCUCACCACCCCAAAACGGUCACUUGCAUGCAUUGAGGACAUGCACCUGCAGUACUUGUUUUUCUCGAAUGUUUUUUACCAUCUCUUUUUUCCUUAUCUGAGCUGCUGACGCAGACGGACAUUGUUUCAUAUUUCGAAAGCUGUGCGGGAAAACGGACCCUAACACGAAUGUGAAUGCGCUAAUCGGUAUUUCCACCACAUGAAACCUGCUACUUUUUCAGUCCUCUUCGUAUGCAUUUCCCAAAAUUCAUUCGUAGCCUUGUCAACUUAGACUCAGUUCCACGGCGUGCAGGACGGGGUAUUAUGAAUAAAAGGAUCCACGGGUGAGAUUUGUUCUGUGUUUUAGGUAUGGAGUUUUGUACCACAAAACUUUAGGAAUACCGGAUUGUGUGCCUACGCCAGCCCCUGGACUUCCCUUUUCUUUUUCUUUGUUGCAGCAGUGGCUUCAAAGAACUGCUGAUUGCUCAAGGCAAUCAGUCCGAGCGUUUAGAAGGUGAUUGUAGGCAGAAAUUAACUUUGCGGUAAAAGAAUGACAUUCUUUCUUAAAAGAAAAAUUAGCUUUUUUUUGUCAGGCAUUGCACAAACUUUUUUAUUUCUGCCUAUACUCUUAAACAGAUCAGUCAUUCAUGUUGUCUUUUUAACGGUCGUACUGGGACAUCGCAUGCCUUGGGAUUCCGUAAUUAGGUGCAACAAUACGGGCACAACUCAUUCUGCGCUAUCUUCACGGACAGAACUUCUAUUGCCUAUCGGUGGUGUGAUUAACAAUUGGAAGCGCAGAGCUUGGAAUGGAUUUCCAAUUCAAUGGAUUUGGAGGUAUUCGUUUGUUUACUAAUAUUUACUUUGAGGACAUUGCCCAACCCUAAAAGUGCCUGUUCCAGAAUAGAAUAACAUUAUGAUACGUUUUCUUGACCGCUGAGCAAUUUAAAGCAAUUAUUAGGGUACGAUUGUUUCUAGAGAAAUGUGGGUCAUCUUUUUAGGUCCGUUCUCUUCUGGUGAGGUAACCUUUACAAAAAUGUCAUAGAGUUACCAAUUGGGAUUCAAGGCAUCAUCGCAAUAUACUUCGUUCUUUUACGGAGAAAUUAAGCUCUUUCUACUUUGAAUUAACUGUUAGACUUGUCUUAUCUGAGGAAUGUCCGUGUUCAAAUUAAAUAAAAAUUUAGGGCAGUUUUAUUUACCUUAACAAAUAUGUUCAAGCAUGUACGU
RNAcentral lists this small RNA (2823 nucleotides) under Saccharomyces cerevisiae YJM1355. RNAcentral's name for it is "ICR1". The record is from RNAcentral. Lineage: Eukaryota; Fungi; Ascomycota; Saccharomycetes; Saccharomycetales; Saccharomycetaceae.